UACGUAGGGUGCAAGCGUUGCCCGGAUUUAUUGGGCGUAAAGGGCGCGUAGGCGGCUCGGCACGUCCGUUGUGAAAUCGCCCGGCUCAACUGGGCGGGGUCAGCGGAUACGGUGUGGCUCGAGCAAGCUAGGGGGCAAUGGAAUUCCCGGUGUAGUGGUGGAAUGCGUAGAUAUCGGGAGGAACACCAGUGGCGAAGGCGGUUGCCUGGAGCUUUGCUGACGCUGAGGCGCGAAAGCGUGGGGAGCGAUCCGG
RNAcentral lists this ribosomal RNA (253 nucleotides) under uncultured bacterium. Its description in RNAcentral is "partial 16S ribosomal RNA". It matches the Rfam family "Bacterial small subunit ribosomal RNA", at positions 524 to 776 of the family's 1533-position model. The record is from RNAcentral.